CAUGCUACGACUCUUUGAUUGUGACUUUCUUUCAGUCGGCAACUUUGAACGAGUUCGGAGCCAACCAACUCCGCUUCGUGAAAUUUCAAAUCAAAAAUGUUCAAGUACGAAAAGUGGAAAAAUGAGCAAAGCUUUUCACGGAUGGAAUUUUGAACAAAAAUAAAAUGUGUUCAGGAUAAAAGUAAUGGAUGAGACGCCAUUUGAAUGCCAACAGCGCAUAAGGGAGGAAAGCGUUCGUGAUCAACUGCCAAACGUGUACACGUAAUAGUUAUGAGAUAAUAGGAUUUCCCAAUUGGGCAUUUCCGAUCGUUGAAACGUCACGAUGUCAUUGACAUAACUGUCGUGAUAUUGCUCCACUUACUUUCCUUUGACAAGGAGUGGAGGCGAUAUACCAGAGCUUCCGGAUUAACCCCACAACAGGAUCGUUCGAGUAGAUUGUGCCAACAGUACGUCUCAUUGGAUGCUGGAAAUGAUUUAGUGCGGAGGUAUCCAGCGGAGUCGACAGAAUUUCCUUCCUGCAAUUCUCGCAAGUGAUGGAUAAUCGCUUCUAAUCUGUCCCAUUCACGUUAACUUUCACGGAAGUAAUAACAUAACACCCCAAUAAAAAAGUAAUUCAGUUCUUCAAUUGUGAUGUGAAACUAUUGUUGGUCUUUUGGUCGACUGAUUUUAUAAUUUACUGAAGUGUUUUAUUACUAAAACCAAAAUUACAAGUUUACGACCCUGAUAAAGACAAUGUCAUUCCCUCAACAUGUUACCUAAGAAGUGUACAAGACUGGCAGGUCAUAAAAUUCCUUUGAUUACGCAGUCAAAUUACCUUGUCAAGUAAAGCUCAUUCACCACCACAAAAUGAAUUAACAUGGUCAAUUCAAUUCAGUUUCGUGUACCUGAACUCAGUCGUUGAAUUGUUUAAAAAUACUCUCCCAUUUUGGAACUUGAAUGACAAAUAAUUAAAAAUCCCGUGGACAAAUCACUAAUAGGUAAUUUAGUAAAAAUUGAGAAGAGAAGAAGUGAAAUAAAAUGGGAAUGAAAUAAAAAUGGUUAUCGUUAACCCCCCACACUUUCUCCUCUGAGUGUGACAGACCAAAC
Long non-coding RNA from Daphnia pulex (common water flea), 1086 nucleotides. RefSeq lists it as uncharacterized. The record is from RefSeq and is a predicted model, not a curated record. Lineage: Eukaryota; Metazoa; Arthropoda; Branchiopoda; Diplostraca; Daphniidae. The transcript has 5 exons.